Molecule: ribosomal RNA, 400 nt
Filed under: uncultured bacterium
Lineage: Bacteria
Description: bacterial SSU rRNA
Rfam family: Bacterial small subunit ribosomal RNA
Source: RNAcentral
GACGAACGCUGGCGGCGUGCAUAACACAUUCAAGUCGAACGGUGACGGAGGCUUCGGCCUCCUGAUCAGUGGCGGACGGGUGAGUAACGCGUGAGCAACCUGCCUCAUACCCCCGGGAUAACAGUUGGAAACGGCUGCUAAUACCGGAUGAUAUAUUUGGAUUGCAUGGUUUAAAUAUCAAAGCUACGGUGGUAUGAGAUGGGCUCGCGUAUGAUUAGAUAGUUGGCAGGGUAACGGCCUACCAAGUCUACGAUCAUUAGCGAACUGAGAGGUUGAACGGCCACAUUGGAACUGAGAAACGGUCCAGACUCCUACGGGAGGCAGCAGUAGGGAAUUUUCGGCAAUGGGGGAAACCCUGACCGAGCAAACGCCGCGUGAGUGAAGACGGCCUCGGUGUAAG